This 894-nucleotide ribosomal RNA is filed under the name uncultured bacterium. RNAcentral describes it as "bacterial SSU rRNA". It matches the Rfam family "Bacterial small subunit ribosomal RNA", at positions 28 to 919 of the family's 1533-position model. The record is from RNAcentral.
GAUGAACGCUAGCGACAGGCUUAACACAUGCAAGUCGAGGGGCAUCACGGUAGCAAUACAUUGGUGGCGACCGGCGCACGGGUGAGUAUCGCGUAUCCAACCUACCUUUAACUUGGGGAUAGCCUUCCGAAAGGGAGAUUAAUACCCGAUAUAAUCUAUUUGAUGCAUAUUUUAUAGAUGAAAGAUUUAUUUUGGUUAUAGAUGGGGAUGCGUUCCAUUAGAUAGUUGGUGAGGUAACGGCUCCCCAAGUCUUCGAUGGAUAGGGGUUCUGAGAGGAAGGUCCCCCACAUUGGAACUGAGACACGGUCCAAACUCCUACGGGAGGCAGCAGUGAGGAAUAUUGGUCAAUGGACGAGAGUCUGAACCAGCCAAGUCGCGUGAAGGAUGACAGCCCUAUGGGUUUUAAACUUCUUUUAUAAGGGAAUAAUUAUUUUUACGUGUAGGGAUUUGCAUGUACCUUAUGAAUAAGCAUCGGCUAACUCCGUGCCAGCAGCCGCGGUAAUACGGAGGAUGCGAGCGUUAUUCGGAUUUAUUGGGUUUAAAGGGUGCGUAGGCGGGUUAUUAAGUCAGUGGUGAAAUUUUGCGGCUCAACCGUAAUCGUGCCAUUGAAACUGGUGAUCUUGAGUGUAAUUGAGGUAUGCGGAAUGUGUUGUGUAGCGGUGAAAUGCUUAGAUAUAACACAGAACUCCGAUUGCGAAGGCAGCAUACUGGCAUACAACUGACGCUGAUGCACGAAAGCGUGGGUAUCAAACAGGAUUAGAUACCCUGGUAGUCCACGCAGUAACGAUGAUAACUCGUUGUUGGCGAUACAUUGUCAGUGACCAAGCGAAAGCGUUAAGUUAUCCACCUGGGGAGUACGCCGGCAACGGUGAAACUCAAAGGAAUGGACGGGGG